Molecule: ribosomal RNA, 468 nt
Filed under: uncultured bacterium
Lineage: Bacteria
Description: partial 16S ribosomal RNA
Rfam family: Bacterial small subunit ribosomal RNA
Source: RNAcentral
GACGAACGCUGGCGGCGUGCUUAACACAUGCCAGUCGAACGGAAAGGCCCUGCUUUUGUGGGGUGCUCGAGUGGCGAACGGGUGAGUAACACGUGAGUAACCUGCCUUUGACUUUGGGAUAACUUCAGGAAACUGGGGCUAAUACCGGAUAGGAGCUCCUGCUGCAUGGUGGGGGUUGGAAAGUUUCGGCGGUUGGGGAUGGACGCGCGGCUUAUCAGCUUGUUGGUGGGGUAGUGGCUUACCAAGGCUUUGACGGGUAGCCGGCCUGAGAGGGUGACCGGCCACAUUGGGACUGAGAUACGGCCCAGACUCCUACGGGAGGCAGCAGUGGGGAAUAUUGCACAAUGGGCGGAAGCCUGAUGCAGCAACGCCGCGUGCGGGAUGACGGCCUUCGGGUUGUAAACCGCUUUCGCCUGUGACGAAGCGUGAGUGACGGUAAUGGGCAAAGAAGCACCGGCUAACUACGUG